ACUCAAAUGAAUUGACGGGGGCUCACACAAGCGGUGGAGCAUGUUGCUUAAUUCGAAGCAACGCGAAGAACCUUACCUGGGUUUGACAUGCUUGGAUUAACUUCCUGAAAGGGAAGCCACACUCGCAAGAGUGGAACAAGCACAGGUGCUGCAUGGCUGUCGUCAGCUCGUGCUGUGAAGUGUCGGGUUAAGUCCCUUAACGAGCGCAACCCUUGUCGUUAGUUGCUACCAGGUAAUGCUGAGGACUCUAACGAGACUGCCGGUGUCAAACCGGAGGAAGGUGGGGAUGACGUCAAGUCCUCAUGGCCCUUACAUCCAGGGUUGCAAACGUGCUACAAUGGCGCGUACAGAGCGAUGCAAGAACGCAAGUUGGAGCAAAUCGCAAAAAACGCGCCCCAGUUCGGAUUGCAGGCUGCAACUCGCCUGCAUGAAGCCGGAAUCGCUAGUAAUCGAGGAUCAGCUACGCCUCGGUGAAUACGUUCCUGAGCCUUGUACACACCGCCCGU
This 506-nucleotide ribosomal RNA is filed under the name uncultured bacterium. Its description in RNAcentral is "partial 16S ribosomal RNA". It matches the Rfam family "Bacterial small subunit ribosomal RNA", at positions 899 to 1397 of the family's 1533-position model. The record is from RNAcentral.